This 253-nucleotide ribosomal RNA is filed under the name uncultured bacterium. Its description in RNAcentral is "partial 16S ribosomal RNA". It matches the Rfam family "Bacterial small subunit ribosomal RNA", at positions 524 to 776 of the family's 1533-position model. The record is from RNAcentral.
UACGGAGGGUGCAAGCGUUAUCCGGAUUCACUGGGUUUAAAGGGUGCGUAGGUGGGCUAGUAAGUCAGUGGUGAAAUCUCCGGGCUUAACCCGGAAACUGCCAUUGAUACUAUUAGUCUUGAAUGUCGUGGAGGUAAGCGGAAUAUGUCAUGUAGCGGUGAAAUGCUUAGAUAUGACAUAGAGCACCGAUAGCGUAGGCAGCUUGCUACACGAAUAUUGACACUGAGGCACGAAAGCGUGGGGAUCAAACAGG